This 497-nucleotide ribosomal RNA is filed under the name uncultured bacterium. RNAcentral describes it as "partial 16S ribosomal RNA". It matches the Rfam family "Bacterial small subunit ribosomal RNA", at positions 28 to 507 of the family's 1533-position model. The record is from RNAcentral.
GAUGAACGCUGGCGGCGUGCCUAAUACAUGCAAGUCGAGCGAACAGAUCAGGAGCUUGCUCCUCUGACGUUAGCGGCGGACGGGUGAGUAACACGUGGAUAACCUACCUAUCAGACUGGGAUAACUUCGGGAAACCGGAGCUAAUACCGGAUAAUAUAUUGAACCGCAUUGUUCACUCGUGAAAGACGGUUUUGCUGUCACUUAUAGAUGGAUCCGCGCCGCAUUAGCUAGUUGGUAAGGUAACGGCUUACCAAGGCAACGAUGCGUAGCCGACCUGAGAGGGUGGUCGGCCACACUGGAACUGAGACACGGUCCAGACUCCGACGGGAGGCAGCAGUAGGGAAUCUUCCGCAAUGGGCGAGAGCCUGACGGAGCAACGCCGCGUGAGUGAUGAAGGUCUUCGGAUCGUAAAACUCUGUUAGUAGGGGAGAACAAAUGUGUAAGUAACUAUGCACGUCUUGACGGUACCUGAUCAGAAAGCCACGGCUAACUACGUG